This is a long non-coding RNA of Phacochoerus africanus (Common warthog), 1036 nucleotides long. RefSeq lists it as uncharacterized. The record is from RefSeq and is a predicted model, not a curated record. NCBI's taxonomy places the organism in Eukaryota, Metazoa, Chordata, Mammalia, Artiodactyla, Suidae. The transcript has 3 exons.
CUGCCAGGCAGGAAACGGGCGGCUUCGGGGCGGGGCGGGGCGGCCCCGGCACGUCCCGGCGUCUGGGCCGGCGGUGCCCGGAGACCAGCCCCUUAAAGGGACAGGAGUCGCCGCCCCGACCCCCGCGCGCUCUGCUGUGAGCUUGGAGCAUCCCCGAAGUACAAAUGAAAACUGUACAGUAUGUGGUAGCCUGAGAUGUUGAGAAUUCUGCCUGUCUUCAGCCACUAUGUUCUCCAGAGACGCAUUCUGUCUUAUUUUAACUCCAGAAAUGCCGCCCUCUUUUUUGUUUCUUAGUAGGGUUACUCAGCACCUCAGUGGUUCCAAUGCCCUCAAAGCAAUCUACCCCUAAACCAUGAGCUGUUUCCUGAGCCUGUGCCACAGGAUCCACCUUCGGUGAAGAGCGAAGCCAUUGGUCUCUUAAUACAAAGAGGAAAAUAUACCAUUUCUAUAAAGGAGUUCAAGGACUCUUGAUUAGCCUACAAACGACCAUCUAAUUUCCUCUGGGAUGGCAGAGAUGAAGGUAUAAUGGAAGCAUUAACGGAACUAAAAGUAAAGGGAAAAUUCCAGGUUCACCUUCUCCACCGAAGUAAUAGAGUGAGGAAGUUCACAGAAACAUCUGCAGCUGCAGAUCUAGAAGUAAUCAGUUAUUCUAACAAAGUAUCUGGCACAUAACUGUGCUUAUCAAAGGUCUGCAUUGUUCCCGUUGACAUGUAAUCUCUUCAGGCAUAUGGCAUUAAAUGCCUUCAUAACAGACUAAAGGUGCCAUAAAUUAUUUGCCUACUCUUUUGCAUGGAGAGGUGAGAUCUGUGCCCUUCCUUUGAAUCUGGGAGGGCUUUGUGACUAAUGUGACCAAUAGGAUGUGACAGAAAUAACAAUGUGCCAAGUUGUAUGGGCCCAGACUGUAAGAGAAAGGCAAUUGAAAGUUCAUUUCCUGUCUCUUGGAACUAUUGAUCUUAGAGCCCUGAACUGCCAUAAAAGAAGUCCAUGGACCCACAUGUUCAUUGCAGCACUAUUCACAAUAGCCAACACAUGGAAA